This 279-nucleotide ribosomal RNA is filed under the name uncultured bacterium. RNAcentral describes it as "partial 16S ribosomal RNA". It matches the Rfam family "Bacterial small subunit ribosomal RNA", at positions 506 to 784 of the family's 1533-position model. The record is from RNAcentral.
UGCCAGCCGCCGCGGUAAUACGGAGGGUGCUAGCGUUGUUCGGAAUUACUGGGCGUAAAGCGCGCGUAGGCGGGCGAGUAAGUCGAUUGUGAAAACCCCAGGCUUAACCUGGGACGUGCAGUCGAUACUGCUUGUCUUGAAUGCUUGAGAGGAUGGCGGAAUUCCCGGUGUAGAAGUGAAAUUCGUAGAUAUCGGGAGGAACACCUGAGGCGAAGGCGGCCAUCUGGCGAUGCAUUGACGCUGAGGUGCGAAAGCGUGGGGAGCAAACAGGAUUAGAUA